UCAGGGAGUAGUUUAGUUGAAAAUAUUAGCUUUGGGAGUUGAAGACGGAGUUUGAUUACUUCCUCCUUGAU
This 71-nucleotide transfer RNA is filed under the name Ratufa bicolor (black giant squirrel). RNAcentral describes it as "tRNA-Pro". It matches the Rfam family "tRNA". Rfam says of the family: Transfer RNA (tRNA) molecules are approximately 80 nucleotides in length. Their secondary structure includes four short double-helical elements and three loops (D, anti-codon, and T loops). The record is from RNAcentral. Lineage: Eukaryota; Metazoa; Chordata; Mammalia; Rodentia; Sciuridae.